ACAUUGGUGGUUCAGCGGUAGAAUUCUUGCCUUCCAUGCAGGAGACCUGGGUUCAAUUCCUAGGCAAUGCA
Molecule: transfer RNA, 71 nt
Filed under: Loxodonta africana (African savanna elephant)
Lineage: Eukaryota; Metazoa; Chordata; Mammalia; Proboscidea; Elephantidae
Rfam family: tRNA
About the family: Transfer RNA (tRNA) molecules are approximately 80 nucleotides in length.
Source: Rfam by way of RNAcentral